RNAcentral lists this ribosomal RNA (467 nucleotides) under uncultured bacterium. RNAcentral describes it as "partial 16S ribosomal RNA". It matches the Rfam family "Bacterial small subunit ribosomal RNA", at positions 29 to 507 of the family's 1533-position model. The record is from RNAcentral.
ACGAACGCUGGCGGCGUGCUUAACACAUGCCAGUCGAACGGAAAGGCCCUGCUUUUGUGGGGUGCUCGAGUGGCGAACGGGUGAGUAACACGUGAGUAACCUGCCCUUGACUUUGGGAUAACUUCAGGAAACUGGGGCUAAUACCGGAUAGGAGCUCCUUCUGCAUGGUGGGGGUUGGAAAGUUUCGGCGGUUGGGGAUGGACUCGCGGCUUAUCAGCUUGUUGGUGGGGUAGUGGCUUACCAAGGCUUUGACGGGUAGCCGGCCUGAGAGGGUGACCGGCCACAUUGGGACUGAGAUACGGCCCAGACUCCUACGGGAGGCAGCAGUGGGGAAUAUUGCACAAUGGGCGGAAGCCUGAUGCAGCAACGCCGCGUGCGGGAUGACGGCCUUCGGGUUGUAAACCGCUUUCGCCUGUGACGAAGCGUGAGUGACGGUAAUGGGUAAAGAAGCACCGGCUAACUACGUG